AUGGCAAGCGAACGCNGGCGGCGUGCCUAACACAUGCAAGUCGANCGGACUAUAAGGAGGGGUAACUCUCUUUAUAGUUAGCGUCGAACGGGUGAGUAACAGGUGGGUAACCUACCCUCAGGAGGGGGAUAACUCGGGGAAACCUGCCUAGCUAAUACCCCAUAAGACCACGAGCUGAAAUGCUUGUGGUAAAAGAAGCAAAUCGCCUAAGGAUGGGCCGGCGCGGCCUAUCAGGUAGUAGGUAGGGUAAUGGCCUACCAAGCCUAUGACGGGUAGCCGAGCUGAGAGGCUGGCCGGCCACACUGGGACUGAGACACGGCCCAGACUCCUACGGGAGGCAGCAGUGGGGAAUAUGGGUGGGCGAAAGCCUGACCCACCGACGCCGCGUGGGGGAAGAAGGCCUUCGGGUUGUAAACCCCUUUUGCAGGGGACGACACAGGACGGUCCCCUGCGAAUAAGCCACGGCUAACUCUGUGCCAGCAGCCGCGGUAAGACAGAGGUGGCAAGCGNUGCUCGGAUUCACUGGGCUUAAAGCGGCGCGUAGGCGGCCUUGCAGGUCUAAGGUGGAAUUCCACAGCUUAACUGUCGAACUGCCUUUGUUAGUGGNUGGGA
This 612-nucleotide ribosomal RNA is filed under the name uncultured bacterium. Its description in RNAcentral is "bacterial SSU rRNA". It matches the Rfam family "Bacterial small subunit ribosomal RNA", at positions 22 to 642 of the family's 1533-position model. The record is from RNAcentral.